RNAcentral lists this ribosomal RNA (407 nucleotides) under uncultured bacterium. RNAcentral describes it as "partial 16S ribosomal RNA". It matches the Rfam family "Bacterial small subunit ribosomal RNA", at positions 28 to 525 of the family's 1533-position model. The record is from RNAcentral.
GACGAACGCUGGCGGCGUGCUCAACACAUCCAAGUCGAACGGAGUGGCCAACGGGUGAGUAACACGUGGGUGAUCUGCCUCGCAAUUCGGGAUCAGCUUGGGACACUGGGUCUAAUACCGGAUAGUGCAAGAUGAGAUCUCGGCCUAUCAGCUUGUUGGUGGGGUAAUGGCCUCACAAGGCGUCGCCGGGUAGCCGGCCUGAGAGGGUGUACGGCCACAUUGGGACUGAGAUACUGCCCAGACUCCUACGGGAGGCAGCAGUGGGGCAUAUUGCACAAUGGGAGGAAGCCUGAUGCAGCGACGCCGCGUGGGGGAUGAAGGCCGUCGGGUUGUAGACUCCUUUCGACAGGGACGCGGGACCUGUAUAAGAAGCAGCGGCUAACUACGUGCCAGCAGCCGCGUGGAUC